RNAcentral lists this transfer RNA (64 nucleotides) under Fruhstorferiola omei. RNAcentral's name for it is "tRNA-Pro". Lineage: Eukaryota; Metazoa; Arthropoda; Insecta; Orthoptera; Acrididae. The record is from RNAcentral. RNAcentral also lists the same sequence under 2 other names.
CAGGAGUUAGUUUAUAAAAAUAUUGGUUUUGGGGAUCAAUGAUAGAAAAGUUUUCUAUUCCUGA